GAUGAACGCUGGCGGCGUGCUUAACACAUGCAAGUCGAACGGAAAGGCCCAAGCUUGCUUGGGUACUCGAGUGGCGAACGGGUGAGGAACACGUGGGUGAUCUGCCCUGCACUUCGGGAUAAGCCUGGGAAAGUGGGGCUAAUAUCGGAUAGGACCACAUGUUGGAUGGUGUGGUGGAAAGUUUUUCGGUGUGGGAUGAGCUCGCGGCCUAUCAGCUUGUUGGUGGGGUAAUGGCCUACCAAGGCGUCGACGGGUAGCCGGCCGGAGAGGGUGUACGGCCUCAUUGGGCCUGAGAUACGGCCCAGACUCCUACGCGCGGCCCCAGCGGGACACACUGCCGAACGAGAGCACGCCAGAUGUCACGCAGCCCCGUGGGGGAAGCCGGCCUCCCCGCUAUACACUCCUCUCCCUACGGACGAAGCGCAAGUGACGUUACCCAAACAACAAGCACCGGCUAACUACGUG
RNAcentral lists this ribosomal RNA (465 nucleotides) under uncultured bacterium. RNAcentral describes it as "partial 16S ribosomal RNA". It matches the Rfam family "Bacterial small subunit ribosomal RNA", at positions 28 to 507 of the family's 1533-position model. The record is from RNAcentral.